This 1031-nucleotide long non-coding RNA is filed under the name Heterocephalus glaber (naked mole-rat). RNAcentral's name for it is "lncRNA (ENSHGLG00100035364.1)". The record is from RNAcentral. Lineage: Eukaryota; Metazoa; Chordata; Mammalia; Rodentia; Bathyergidae.
UCCAAGGCGACAGUCGGGUUCAUUUUGGGCUAAACUGGGAGGGGGAGAGGAAAGCACAGCCCAUGCUCAUCUGAGGAGGAGUCUCCCCACUUCUCCACUGUGGCUCCGCCCGGGUGGGAAGGAGAGAGCCUUUGGCACAGGGGUGUGCGUGUGAAGUCGGGUCUCAUCCAGGUGCCUGCGCUUCUUCCAAGAUCCUAAUGAAAACUCCCAAGCGCAGGAAAACGAGGACCACGUGUCCACGGCCUGUUGACGGGAGCGGGGGACGCGGGCGUCUGGGCUUGGCCGCCAGGCACAGCUGCGUGGGCAGCGGCGCCGCUAGCCCGGCCUGCCCCGUCCUGCGGCUUCUUUACACACGGUGGGUUCCAGUCUCUUCAAGUCAGGACUCUCCUCUUCCUGAGAGUCUGAUUCGAGUUCUGGGCCCUCACUUCUGAAACGUGCGGCGGACACUCACCUGCUGGAGCCCCGGGUCAAUCGGGUGCCGAGGUGGACCUCGAGCGUGCAGCCUUUGGGUGCUCGCCGGCUGGACUCGAACUCCGUGCUCUGACAUGAUGAAAUGGAGUGAGCUGCGAGGCGGCCUAUGAUCACAGCCAACCGUGAGAAUGCUGAUGUCUUCGUGCACUGCAUUCGCCACUUACAAACUCGGCCCUAGGGCCGGGGUUUAGUUCAGUGGUGCCGCCGCCUGCCCUGCAAGUGCAAGGACCGAGUUCGAUCUCCGUACCAAAAAGAAAAAAUAUCAUCACUGAGACUGCUGGGUGAUAUUGCGGCAGACAAUCCCUUUUGUGGGGACCACUCUGAAAUAUGGCCCUUCUGUUGCUUAAUCUAAAAUACCUUUUUUAUUCUUGUUUUGGUCGAGUGGUGUAUUUUGAAAAGUCCUGCAUGCCUAUUCUUUGCAGGGCAGGAAUUUUGGGUUGCAGGCUACAUAGAGGGCCCUUUGCAUUAUGUGACCUGAAACCACAUUUCUCCCCAAGUACUCUUUGGAACUUUCUCCUAAAAAUAACUCCAGAAAAAGGUCUUGUCAAAAGCCAUUAAAU